CCCAACCUGCCGCACCGUCGCUCAGCCCCGCUCGGGCUCCCUCGCCUGUCAAGAGGACAGCCCUACCCACUCGCUGGACUGUCUCGGCGUGGUCCUGGGUCCCCCGGCCUGUGCCCCCCGCCCCCGACGGCUCGCGACCUGGAAAGUGCAAAGUGCCAAGAUCCUUAGGGUGGCCAGGCGACGCCGAUGCGCCCGGUGGGAUUCGAAGCGCUCCCUGAGCGAGACCGGACCCCUAAAUGGCUGAGCGAGCUUCCAUGGGCUCCCCCCACCCCCCCGGAGAGAGCGGCGACCUCGGGCUUCCCCUACAGGGGCAGCAGGGAGAGCGCGAUCCCGCGGCGGGCGCGCGCCAGAGAAUCUAGGGUCACUCUGAAACCCCACCGGUGAACUACAAGCUCACAGAAGAGCCACCAACUUCUCAGCAGAGCUACAUGGGUGAAGAUGCCGUCACUACUUCGGCCUCUGCACCUUGAGCCACAGUGACCAGCUGUACCCACCUAGUCACGCUUCCAGCCUGGUGACCAUCCCAAGCAUCCCAGUACCCAGCCUUCCUGGAUCACCAACCCAAGAUCUUCAAUGGCAAGAUGAACCCCAAAGAGUCUCAGCACCAUCCAGUGACUCAAGACCCCGGACUCAAAUGAUAUCUGCUGGAGAUGGAGGAAGAACAUAGGAUCAAAGCAAACGGUUCGUGAUUCUAGUGUUGUCCUUAUUGUAUUGAGCAAGGCGAACUGUAGGCUCGGGCUUGACCCCCGACCAAGUUCUAAACCAGUGCUGCCGCAACAGUCAGUCUCUAGCAGAUCACAGCAGGUGUCUGUCUGUUGGCUAAGGAACAAUAACAAGAGGGGAGAAUUUCUCAUGUCACUGCCCAGCUUAUGCUCCUUCCUGGUGUAAAACAGCCAACAUUCAGUAACAAUUCUACAUUCAGUAGAGGCCAGACAUGGUUGUGCUCACCUUUAAUCCCAGCAUUCAAGAGGCAGAGGCACGCAGGCCUCUGUGAGUUUGAGUUUGAGGCCAGGCUGGUCUACAUAGAGAGACCUGUCUCAAAGAAAACAAACAAAACAGCUAGUAUAAUAGGGUAGGUCUACUUUGUCUCCCAAGGUCCAGAGUCCCAUGGGGUUUACCCAAAGGCCCCAUCACCUGUGUGUUCAGUAACUAAGCAGAAAGAACCCCCAGAAGCACCAGCAGGGCAUCCUGUGUCUCCCAGGAGAUCUGAGUUAGAUAGGGGUGGUGACAGCUUUAAGAGGGGAGGAGAGCAUGCAGCACUCCAAGGAAUGAUGGGAGCAGAAAUGGGGGCCCAGGGUGAGGUGGAAGAGGAAGGGAAAGGGGGGACUUAGGGAAAGUGGGACUCUGGGGACCACCGUGAUGACGUGCCCACACCAUGUCUGGGGCCUCGGAAACUGUGGGCUUCGCCUGAAAGGUCCCAUCUGACCCAGUAGCCAAGCUCUGAGGUCUCUAAUCCUCAGACUUUUAGUUUGUCAAACCGAAGAAUCACACAAGAACUUCCGUGAUAUGCGACCAUUCUGAAACGGUCUGCUGUGUGGUACCUGCUAGGUGUUCAACAGUUGUAUUUACCCACAGUAGGUCUCCUACUGUGACCUGCAGUGGGGGAUGGGGAAUUAAUGAUAAAGAUGCCACUUGAGCAAGUGCAUUAUGGGAGCAGCUCUUUGUCCCAUACCUGUGGACUACAGGAAUUUGUCUAGCCACAUCUUUGAGCCUCAGUGGUCUUUUGUGACAAACAGCAAUCAGAAAUAAGCCAAGACCAGGCUCUGAUGAGAUCUGUCUGCAGGCACCCAGCAAAGGCAGGCUGUGGGUGUGGGCCAGGAGUAGAGGCAUACUGUGGUUGAGUGUCUCGGGCAGGGCAGGCAGGGUGAGGCCAGUAUUCCAGGGCUCCCCCCCCCCCGCCCCUUCCAUGAACAGCUCUGGCAAUCAGCCGAGGCCAGCUGACAGGUUCUGAUAAAUAAAUAUAAACAACCAUGGCCCCGGGCUCUACUUGGAGGCUAUUGGCUUUCUCAGGAAGAUCUAGCUAGAGGGCACUGUGUGACAGGUUUUGGGGUGCCAAGAAGAAUUGGUAGGCAGAUGUCAUUGGUAGCUCUGAGCUGAGGGCUCACUGUCCCUAGCCACAGUGUCAUACUGGAGCGAUGAACUAACUGUGGCAAUAUUGACAGUGAUUAUAGCACCCGCUUGCUAAGUGCUAAUGACCCUGUUUAAUGUUCAAAGGAAGCUGAGAAAAAAGAUUCUCACUAAACACUUCAGAUGCAGGACCUUGUAUCAGGAUACGUGAAAAACUCCUAUGACUGGAGAGUGGGAAGUCAUCCAGCCAAUGAAAAUGCACGAAGGGUCUGAGCAGAUGCCUACCCAGAGAAGGUACCUGUGGGUGGCAAAUGAACAGCCUCACUGUUGCUUGAGGUACCAGCGGGCUUUGCCCCUCCUUCAGCUACCACAGUGCAGCCUCUGCCGUGCUGCCAUGUCCACUCUGUAAGCACAGAGAGCCCAUCCCAAAGCUUGCUUUCUAGCUCCUGUUGACGGUGAAGAACUGGGGCGCUCAGUGGCCGUGACCAGAUCCCAGGCAAGGCUGUCAGCCCCACAGGACCACCUGUCUCUUCUUGUUGGACCCCAGAAUUCCCCUUUACCACAUCCUGAGGCCCAGGCUCCUCUAUGUUCUUUUGAUGGUGCUCUUGCCAAGGAACGCAUGGGACAGGACAGCUGUCUGGUGUCGACGCCUGUCCAUAGUUCAAGGUGUCAGAUUCCGGACUCAUGACCCUCUCAUGAGGGUCAUGUCCAAACUGCCACCAAGGAGACCUGUGGAAAGUCCUCAGGUGCUGGGAAUUCCCUCUGCAGAAUCUGGCCUGACCGACAUGCAGUUCUAUAAAUGUUCAUGUUUGUCUCCUUAUCUUUUUGUGUCAUUUACUAAAGUAUUGAUAUAGUUUUAGUAAGUAACUAUUUUUAGGUUGCAAAACUUAAUUCUUCAUCUUUAUAUGAUUAAACCCAAAAUCUUUGAUGUGGAAGAAAUAAAGGUCAUGUGUUUAAUCCUGAAAAAAAUAAUGAUGAAGAUGAAAUCUCAGGGUUAGGGUUAGGCCACGACCCUCCUCGCAUGGUCCCAGACACUCCUGUAGGCAAAGGUGAUCAGGUAACACACAGAAAGCUAAACAUGAGGAGCGCAGACUCAAUCCUGUUUCUAGGACCUUCUCUCGAAAGGAUUCUUGGGGAAGAGAAAGAGAGAAUAUAGCAACAUAGUCACUCAGAAAUGUGAGAAUUCAGAGGUGACCUAGGACCCACAGCUGAGACAAAGAUAUUCUAUUUACAUAUUUUUUUCAUUUGUUGAUUUAUGUAUUGUUGUGAUACUGGAGAUUUGAAAUAAGGGCCUCAUGUACACCAUGCAAGUGCUCUGUAAAUGUACUAUAUCUUCAACCUUCUUUAGAAUCUUUAAUUUUGAGGCCAUUCUUGAACUUAUGAGUCUCUUGCCUCAGCCUCCCAAAUACAGGCCUGCAUCACCACAGGCAAGAGGAUGCUGUACUUAGACAUAACCAAGCUGCCAUCCAUUGGAGCCUGUACCAAAGUGAAUGGCUGGAGCCUCGCCAGCUUCUCGUGACCAAGCUCUGUCACUGUGGAGCACCUCACAGCAACGGAAGAAUGAGGACAUGCACACACUGCCGUUUCAGACAGGUCUCAAGGAGAGACUGCUAAAUGGUGGGUUUCACUUUAGGAUUAUAUGUGAAGUUGGAAAAUGAGGAGCGACGCCAGGGAUGGGGGUGGGGAGUGCACACACCUUUAAUCCCAGCACUCAGGAGGCAGAAGCAGGAGGAUCUCUGAGUUCAAGGCCAGCCUGAUCUACAGAGCAAGUCCAGGACAGCCAAGGCUACACAAAGAGACCCUGUCUCAAAAAAAAGAGGGAAUAAAUGUAGAUUUGUAUUUAUGAGUAUAAAAUUCUGGAAGAACUCAUAAGGGACAGAUAUUUUUAAAAAGCUCCAUUGCAUGUAACUAGGGAGAGCUAAGCAGAUGACAGACAAGAUGGGAGGCAGGUUUUCCUCAGUUCUGAAUCUGCAGUAAACCUCUAUGUGCACAAAUUCCAGAUCUGUGUUUCCAUCCAGCCAUGGGCCAGAGACAUUCAGGGUCUGGCUAUAGUUUGAUAGUAGAGCCCUGGUUAGUCAACAGGUUCCAGCCCCAACACACACACACACACACACACACCACAAAGAUGUCACAUCUGUGCCGAGCAUACACAGAGUUUUUCAUUGAGAUUAUUUCCUAAAAAGACACCACAGCAGCCAACUAUUUCUACAGCAUUUCCAUGAUGCCAGGUAUGAUAAGUCACACCUGUCAUGAGACUACAGGAGGAUGUGACAGAUUUGAUGAAGAGAUGAGGCCUACCAUAGUUAGCUUUGACUGUCAGUCUGAGAAAGCCUACAGCCAUGUGUGAGGCACUGCCUCAGUCAGAUUGGCUUUGUGGGAAUGGCGAGUUCAAGGGAGAGCUUGUGCCAAUGCCUCACAUUUAAGAAAUGACAAUGUUUUCUCUUUUGAAAUAUGACUGUUUGGGGGCUAGAGCAAUGGCUCAACAGUUCAGAGCAGUUGCUGUUCCUGUUGAGGACCCAGGUUUGAUUCCAGCACCACACCGUGGUCACACCCACCUAACUCCAAUACCAGCGCAUCUGCUUCCUGCUCUAGAGGUGGCGGGACCUGGGAGAAAGGGGGCAGACUGAAGUCUCAAGCAAUAGCCCACUUUAUUCAGAGUAGCAGACAAUGUAUACUCUGAGGGCUAACAGAAGACAUACAAGUAAAGUGUGCAAUCAUAAGGGCAGGCUGCACGUGGCAGACAGGGAAGCAGAAUCCGAGAACAAUCCCAUGUUUCUGAAGAAACAGGUCGGAAGACUCUGUCUUGGUUUCUUGGAGUUUUCUUGAGCACUCAGAAAUCUCCUUACGCGACUCCGUCCUGGGACCGCGUUCCAACGCAGAUCCAAAGCUUUCUUCUGUCUUCCACAGACAUCAAGCACAAACGUGAUGCAUGAACUUACGUGCAGGCAAUAUUCAUAUACAUAAAAUAAAAAAUAAUCUUUAAAAAAGAA
Molecule: long non-coding RNA, 5057 nt
Organism: Psammomys obesus (fat sand rat)
Lineage: Eukaryota; Metazoa; Chordata; Mammalia; Rodentia; Muridae
Exons: 3
Source: RefSeq, a predicted model, not a curated record